CUCAGUUCGGAUUGGAGUCUGCAACCCGACUCCAUGAAGCUGGAUUCGCUAGUAAUCGCGCAUCAGCCACGGCGCGGUGAAUACGUCCCCGGGCCUUGUACACACCGCCCGUCAAGCCAUGGAAGCCGGGGGUGCCUGAAGUGCGCUGCCGCAAGGAGCGCCCUAGGGUAAAACCGGUGACUGGGGCUAAGUCGUAACAAGGUACC
Molecule: ribosomal RNA, 206 nt
Filed under: uncultured bacterium
Lineage: Bacteria
Description: partial 16S ribosomal RNA
Rfam family: Bacterial small subunit ribosomal RNA
Source: RNAcentral